AUUUUAUAUGAGAGUUUGAUCCUGGCUCAGGAUGAACGCCGGCGGUGUGCCUAAUACAUGCAAGUCGUACGCACUGGCCCA
This is a ribosomal RNA of 81 nucleotides. It matches the Rfam family "Bacterial small subunit ribosomal RNA", at positions 1 to 78 of the family's 1533-position model.